AACGAACGCUGGCGGCAUGCCUAACACAUGCAAGUCGAACGAGACCUUCGGGUCUAGUGGCGCACGGGUGCGUAACGCGUGGGAACCUGCCCUUAGGCUCGGAAUAACUCCCCGAAAGGGGUGCUAAUACCGGAUAAUGUCUUCGGACCAAAGAUUUAUCGCCUUUGGAUGGGCCCGCGUUGGAUUAGCUAGUUGGUAGGGUAAAAGCCUACCAAGGCGACGAUUCAUAGCUGGUCUGAGAGGAUGAUCAGCCACACUGGGACUGAGACACGGCCCAGACUCCUACGGGAGGCAGCAGUGGGGAAUAUUGGACAAUGGGCGAAAGCCUGAUCCAGCAAUGCCGCGUGAGUGAUGAAGGCCUUAGGGUUGUAAAGCUCUUUUACCCGGGAUGAUAAUGACAGUACCGGGAGAAUAAGCUCCGGCUAACUCCGUG
Molecule: ribosomal RNA, 433 nt
Filed under: uncultured bacterium
Lineage: Bacteria
Description: partial 16S ribosomal RNA
Rfam family: Bacterial small subunit ribosomal RNA
Source: RNAcentral